This 808-nucleotide long non-coding RNA is filed under the name Homo sapiens (human). Its description in RNAcentral is "non-protein coding lnc-IARS-2:2". Lineage: Eukaryota; Metazoa; Chordata; Mammalia; Primates; Hominidae. The record is from RNAcentral.
GGAGAUGGUACAGGCGCUUUACGAGGCUCCUGCUUACCAUCUUAUUUUGGAAGGGAUUCUGAUCCUCUGGAUAAUCAGACUUCUUUUCUCUAAGACUUACAAAUUACAAGAACGAUCUGAUCUUACAGUCAAGGAAAAAGAAGAACUGAUUGAAGAGUGGCAACCAGAACCUCUUGUUCCUCCUGUCCCAAAAGACCAUCCUGCUCUCAACUACAACAUCGUUUCAGGGUAAAUUGAUUUUGCUACCUGAAGUACUUGUAUUUGGCUUCUUGUAGUAACCUGCAGUCUAUAGUGCUUUAUAUGUAGUAGUCCUUUUUUUAUCUGAAACAAAACAUUUUGAAGUUCCCAGGAGUAACAGCUUUAGCUCCUGAUUUUAAAAAAUUUAUUCUAGGGAUGAUACAGGCAUUUUUUAAAAUCUCCAAUUUAAGCAUUAAUGUUUGCCCUUUUUUCCAAGAAUGCACACAUGUUAAUAUUUCCAAUGGUCGAACACUUAAAAUGAAAAGCAACAGACUUCUGCUUUUUACCCAUCUGGUUAUUUUCUGAUUUUAAAUUUGUCGCACGUUACCCUCAUAAUUCUAGAUACUGUAUAGUAUGCUUAACUACCAUUUGUUGAUUCAUCAACUACAGACAACACCUGUUGAUCCCCACAAUAUGAAUUAUGGAGCUUCCGCUCACUUAUGCCUCUUUCCUCCUUGCUUCCAGUGUCUCAUCUAUUUUUUACUUUUCAUUCUCUUGGCUAUCUUUGCUAUAUUGUAUGUAUUUUCAUUAAUUAAGAAAUACAGUAAGAAUAUAGAAAGUUAUCAGAUAU